UUUUAGCAGAAGCCUUUUUUUCCUUCAGUACCGCUGUUAGUCUGUGCCCAUUGGACUCCACACCAUCAAGAUUGUAAAUCAUCUGGCUUUCUAGUUGAUUUGUUCGGUAACUUAAAUAUAUUAGUAAUCCAGGGUGCGCAUGGUGUGAGAGGAUCAUGAAUGUAAGGUUUGCGGCCAAACACUGAAUCAAGCCAAUCACA
Molecule: long non-coding RNA, 200 nt
Filed under: Elaeis guineensis (African oil palm)
Lineage: Eukaryota; Viridiplantae; Streptophyta; Magnoliopsida; Arecales; Arecaceae
Description: long non-coding RNA (EGUI_LNC024881)
Source: RNAcentral